Molecule: long non-coding RNA, 220 nt
Filed under: Gossypium raimondii (Peruvian cotton)
Lineage: Eukaryota; Viridiplantae; Streptophyta; Magnoliopsida; Malvales; Malvaceae
Description: long non-coding RNA (GRAI_LNC007936)
Source: RNAcentral
GAAGGGGUGGUGGUUAUUUUAAAACAUUCUAAGAAAAUGUUAUCGUUCUUUUAUUUUUCGAAAAUCUUAGUUCUUGUUUUUUUUUUUUCUGUUCUUCCUUCUUUUAUUUUUCUUCUUUUCUACAAUCGAUUUUAUGUGAAUUGGGAAGUCUUGUUGCCUGUAAGGUCGAUAUUGGGUAAGUUCUGUUGUGAUUUUCUUUCAUUUGCGAUUCUGUUGUGUU